Molecule: small RNA, 133 nt
Filed under: Arabidopsis thaliana (thale cress)
Lineage: Eukaryota; Viridiplantae; Streptophyta; Magnoliopsida; Brassicales; Brassicaceae
Description: ATSL251380
Source: RNAcentral
UUUUCCAUGACUUUAUUUUGUAAAAAAAAAUGUAAAAAGUCAUGAACCAAUCAGAGAUUCUUUUGUUUUAAUUGAAUAACACAAAACUUAUUUUUAAUGAUUUUGUAAGAGUAUGAAUACAAUAACUCCAAAU